CGGCGAACGGGUGAGUAACACGUGGGCAACCUGCCCCUAACACUGGGAUAACCUCGGGAAACCGGGGCUAAUACCGGAUACGACCUCGAGCGGCAUCUCUUGAGGUGGAAAGCUCCGACGGUUAGGGAUGGGCCCGCGGCCUAUCAGCUUGUUGGUGGGGUAAUGGCCUACCAAGGCGACGACGGGUAGCCGGCCUGAGAGGGCGACCGGCCACACUGGGACUGAGACACGGCCCAG
RNAcentral lists this ribosomal RNA (237 nucleotides) under uncultured bacterium. Its description in RNAcentral is "partial 16S ribosomal RNA". It matches the Rfam family "Bacterial small subunit ribosomal RNA", at positions 96 to 334 of the family's 1533-position model. The record is from RNAcentral.